GGUGGAAUUCCAUGUUUAGCGGUGAAAUGCGUAGAGAUAUGGAGGAACACCAGUGGCGAAGGCGACUUUUGGUCUGUAACUGACACUGAGCGCGAAAGCGUGGGGAGCAAACAGUAUUAGAUACCCUGGUAGUCACGCCGUAAACGAUGAGUGCUAAGUGUUAGAGGGUUUCCGCCCUUUAGUGCUGAAGUUAACGCAUUAAGCACUCCGCCUGGGGAGUACGGCCGCAAGGCUGAAACUCAAAGGAAUUGACGGGGGCCCGCACAAGCGGUGGAGCAUGUGGUUUAAUUCGAAGCAACGCGAAGAACCUUACCAGGUCUUGACAUCCUCUGAAAACCCUAGAGAUAGGGCUUCUCCUUCGGGAGCAGAGUGACAGGUGGUGCAUGGUUGUCGUCAGCUCGUGUCGUGAGAUGUUGGGUUAAGUCCCGCAACGAGCGCAACCCUUGAUCUUAGUUGCCAUCAUUAAGUUGGGCACUCUAAGGUGACUGCCGGUGACAAACCGGAGGAAGUGGGGAUGACGU
This 521-nucleotide ribosomal RNA is filed under the name Bacillus cereus. RNAcentral describes it as "bacterial SSU rRNA". It matches the Rfam family "Bacterial small subunit ribosomal RNA", at positions 660 to 1185 of the family's 1533-position model. Lineage: Bacteria; Bacillati; Bacillota; Bacilli; Caryophanales; Bacillaceae. The record is from RNAcentral.